RNAcentral lists this ribosomal RNA (642 nucleotides) under Triticum aestivum (bread wheat). Its description in RNAcentral is "partial small subunit ribosomal RNA". The record is from RNAcentral. Lineage: Eukaryota; Viridiplantae; Streptophyta; Magnoliopsida; Poales; Poaceae.
AUGAAGGAAAUUUUCAUAUCACAUUCCUGCGUUCUUCAUUAUGCUCUCGCCGUGCUCACAUCCAGUAUACCGAAUCUUGAAACUCUUACUAUGUAUUCGUAUUACGAGAUGGUCAGUACACCAACGCUAGCAAGCAAAUUCCUCCACCUCAAGUAUUUGAAUAUUUCUGUAUUUGGAUGGAAGUUUGCCUCGACACCUCGGUAUGCGGACUAUGAUCUUUUCUCGCUGGUUUCUUGUCUCGACGCAUCUCCUUGCUUGGAGACUUUCAACCUGGAUGCACCAAUGAGACGCCGGGAGCAUGACUCAAUUUCUGAAGACCCCUCCUCACAAUUGGUGCGGAUUCCAGGACAAUGCUAUGCCAAUCUUAGGCAUGUGAAGAUCACUAAAUUCCGCUCCACAAAGCUAUUGGUUAAGCUCACAUGUCAUAUUCUUGACAGCACACCGUCGCUCGAGUGCCUCACACUGGACAUAACUGAUGGUGGGCCGACUUGUUCCGAGCUUGACAGAUGCUUUGUGGGCAAACAAACUUUUAUGGAAGCCCCUAAAGCGCUUGCGGCUAUCCAGACUUACAUCGAGGGAAAAGUUCCCUCCACGGCUAAGUUGAAUGUCGUGGAGCCUUGCAGCCGAUGUCCUGCCCUUUGA